ACUCAAAUGUUCUUCUUAGGGUAAAUCUACAUAGAAGGUAAGAGUUUUCUACCAUGAAUAGUUUCUGUUAGCUCAAGUGGUGGGAGGCUGAUGGGAAACUGAUGUUCCAACUAUGUAUGACAACCCUUGUGAGGACUGUGGCGAUAUUUUGAUGUAGCUUUUGUUUAUUUUUCUUACCUCUUUUAAGACUUCAGAAACCUUAUGGAACUUAAUUCACAGAACACUGUUAAUGUUGCAAAGUCAUCCAGAACCGAGGAGAUUAAGGCUGUCCUUGCAGCCUUAUUCAGCUCCCUUUUACAGCAUGAUCUUUAAUGUCACAGCUUUAUAUUAUUUUCUUUUGAAAUGCUUGUAUGUUUUAUUCAGUGCACAAUGUAAGAAGAAUAUAGAGAAAUCAAGAAAUAGUAGAGAAAUGAUGAUGUCAAGGUGACAAACUGUAGAGCUACAUCCACCUCUGAACUCUGCUCAUUAAACUAUCUCCUCUGGGACUUCUUACUUUCCCCUAAGAAGCUUCAAAGUAUUGCUGUUUUCUUUAUAUCAGGCUUCUUCAUCUCUUCCUCUCUUCCUCUGAAUAGUGGGGCUUCUGUUAAUGGAAGUAUUACUACAUGGUGAAUAAAGAGUGCAUAUGUGGCUAAAAGCCAGGGUUAUGGCAAGAUGUCAGACCUUCAAUCGUAACAAUUAGGUGUCAGGAAAAAAAGGCAAAACAAAGUUUUUAAAUUUUUGAAGUGCAUAUAGUGUUUUAUUUACACUUUUCCUCUUCUGACAAACUGUAUAGGAGCAGACCUGAGAUACUGACACAAGCCUGGAGUAGCUAAAGAGACAGGUCUGCUGCAAGCACAGACAAAGCUGGAAGUUUUUCUGUCUCCUGCUCUGUGCCUGUACAGUCCUUGGAGGAGUGAGGCUUCAUGUCAUAAUGAAAAGAUUUCUUGGACAUCUCCCAGCAUGUACUCAUGAGCACAUGCAACAGUGUAUUCCAGUGGGAGAGACGGCCCAUACAUGUGUCGUCUGGGAUCAUCCUGCCCACAGUGAACCAGGACUUGUGGAGAGGAAAUCUCUUUGGGCCGGGAAUGCGUUAACUGUUUGGCGUUGGCUCUUCCAUGAAGGACUGGGUGCAUUUUCCCACAAAGAUAUUGCCUCAGAAGUGCCAUCUUCACUGUAA
This 1156-nucleotide long non-coding RNA is filed under the name Struthio camelus australis. RNAcentral's name for it is "lncRNA (ENSSCUG00000008166.1)". The record is from RNAcentral. Lineage: Eukaryota; Metazoa; Chordata; Aves; Struthioniformes; Struthionidae.